Molecule: ribosomal RNA, 301 nt
Filed under: uncultured bacterium
Lineage: Bacteria
Description: partial 16S ribosomal RNA
Rfam family: Bacterial small subunit ribosomal RNA
Source: RNAcentral
CAGUAGCCACGGGAAUACGAAGGGUGCAAGCGUUACUCGGAAUUACUGGGCGUAAAGCGUGUGUAGGUGGUUGUUUAAGUCUGUCGUGAAAGCCCUGGGCUCAACCUGGGAAUGGCAAUGGAUACUGGCAAGCUAGAGUGUGUCAGAGGAUGGUGGAAUUCCCAGUGUAGAGGUGAAAUGCGUAGAGAUCGGGAGGAACAUCAGUGGCGAAGGCGGCCAUCUGGGACAACACUGACGCUGAGGCACGAAAGCGUGGGGAGCAAACAGGAUUAGAUACCCCGGUAGUCCCUGUCUCUUAUAC